Dendronephthya gigantea is the source of this 74-nucleotide non-coding RNA. The record is from the annotation of a RefSeq genome assembly. NCBI's taxonomy places the organism in Eukaryota, Metazoa, Cnidaria, Anthozoa, Malacalcyonacea, Nephtheidae.
GUUUCUGUGGCGCAAUCGGUUAGCGCGUUCGGCUGUUAAUCGAAAGGUCGAUGGUUCGAAUUCAUCCAGAAACG